Molecule: long non-coding RNA, 944 nt
Organism: Piliocolobus tephrosceles (Ugandan red Colobus)
Lineage: Eukaryota; Metazoa; Chordata; Mammalia; Primates; Cercopithecidae
Exons: 4
Source: RefSeq, a predicted model, not a curated record
AAAACUGCCUUCUGUACAAAAACCCUAUGAUCCACGCACCCUGUGUCUAAUCCUCUGCAAUGGGGCCAGUCUGCAGAUCCGUCUGGGCGGGCUGCGGUAGCAUUCUCCACCUGCCAACACUCAGUUGCUGGUGAGUAACCAGCAUACGGACACUCACUUCCUAGAUGACGCCUUGCUCUGUUGCCCAGGGUGAUCUGUAACUCCUGGCCUUUAGCGACUCUCCCACCUUGGCCUCCUAGAGCACUGGGGUUACAGGCAUGAACCACUGUGCCCAGCCUGCAUGAUGUAAUCUCCAAAUUGAGGGUAGGGGGGAGAGUGGUCUCACAACCGAAGGGCACCAGCCACUGAGAAGUCCUAAGGCUAUGUUUGAGUUCUGGCUCGUCUUUUUUGCUAAUUUGUUCUUGUGCCUAUCACCCAACCUCUCUAAGCCAGUUUCAUCGUCAGUGACAACAGCACACUGACAGGCAGGGCCUGCUCAGGCGCUACCACGAGCUGCACAUCUGUCCAUUUGUUCAAUCUUCACAGCAGCCCUGGAGGUCACCCAGGCAUGGAAUGCACAGCUCUGCCAGACAGAAAGCGCUUUGGAUGCCUGAGAAACAACAGCUUGUCCGGGCCACUGAUGCAGAGAGAGGCCACGGUUUCCUUUUUCUCUGCUCUGAAUGGCAGCCUUGACGUCACAACAGCUAGGAACCACUGGAGGGACAAAUAACAAGGCGCAAGCCAGAAGCGCCCUGCUCUGUCGCAGGGGCAGGGCCAUUUUCAUCCAGUUCUGAUGUCUUCUGUGGUCGCUGCGAGUCGGCGGGAGCAGAGACAAAUGACUGGAGCUUUAGGCGUAAAGCCGGUGUCUCUAGGCUGAUCAAACAGCCCUUGCCCAGUGCUAAUUGCCUUCAUGGAACCUGGAUAAACUAUAGUUCCCGAAUUAAACUUGUUUCUGACGAACUAGA